This 378-nucleotide unclassified non-coding RNA is filed under the name plant metagenome. Its description in RNAcentral is "partial contains 5.8S ribosomal RNA, internal transcribed spacer 2, and large subunit ribosomal RNA". The stretch from base 1 to 105 matches the Rfam family "5.8S ribosomal RNA", at positions 50 to 154 of the family's 154-position model. The record is from RNAcentral.
GAAAUGCGAUAAGUAAUGUGAAUUGCAGAAUUCAGUGAAUCAUCGAAUCUUUGAACGCACCUUGCGCUCCUUGGUAUUCCUUGGAGCAUGCCUGUUUGAGUAUCAUGAAAUCUUCAAAGUAAAUCUUUUGUUAACUCAAUUGGUUUCUACUUUGGUAUUGGAGGUCUUUGCAGCUUCACACCUGCUCCUCUUUGUUCAUUAGCUGGAUCUCAGUGUUAUGCUUGGUUCCACUCGGCGUGAUAAGUUAUCUAUCGCUGAGGACACUGUAAAAGGUGGCCAAGGUAAAUGCAGAUGAACCGCUUCUAAUUGUCCAUUGACUUGGACAAUACUUUUAUGAUCUGAUCUCAAAUCAGGUUGGACUACCCGCUGAACUUAAGC